UGUCCCGGAAUUAUUGGGGCGUAAAGGGGCUCGUAGGCGGUUUGUCGCGUCUAGCGUUUAAGGCUCGGGCUUAACCCGGGUUUGCGUUGGGUACGGGCAGGCUUGAGUGCGGUAGGGGUAACUGGAAUUCCUGGUGUAGCGGUGGAAUGCGCAGAUAUCAGGAGGAACACCGGUGGCGAAGGCGGGUUACUGGGCCGUUACUGACGCUGAGGAGCGAGAGCGUGGGGAGCGAACAGGAUUAGAUACCCUGGUAGUCCAUGCUGUAAACGUUGGGCACUAGGUGUGGGGGCUGGUUUCAUGGUUUCCGCGCCGUAGCUAACGCAUUAAGUGCCCCGCCUGGGGAGUACGGCCGCAAGGCUAAAACUCAAAGGAAUUGACGGGGGCCCGCACAAGCGGCGGAGCAUGCGGAUUAAUUCGAUGCAACGCGAAGAACCUUACCAAGGCUUGACAUGCACCGCGAGACUGCAGAGAUGUGGUUGCCUUCGGGGUGGUGUGCAGGUGGUGCAUGGUUGUCGUCAGCUCGUGUCGUGAGAUGUUGGGUUAAGUCCCGCAACGAGCGCAACCCUUGUCUCAUGUUGCCAGCACGUUUGGGUGGGGACUCGUGAGAGACUGCCGGGGUUAACUCGGAGGAAGGUGGGGAUGACGUCAAAUCAUCAUGCCCCUUAUGUCUUGGGCUUCACGCAUGCUACAUUGGUGUCUACAGAGGGUUGCUAUUCCGUGAGGUUGAGCGAAUCUCUUAAAGGGCAUCUUGGUUCGGAUCGCAGUCUGCAACUCGACUGCGUGAAGGUGGAGUCGCUAGUAAUCGCAGAUCAGCAUUGCUGCGGUGAAUACGUUCUCGGGCCUUGUACACACCGCCCGUCACGUCACGAAAGUUGGUAACACCCGAAGCCUGUGGCCUAAC
RNAcentral lists this ribosomal RNA (901 nucleotides) under Winkia neuii. Its description in RNAcentral is "bacterial SSU rRNA". It matches the Rfam family "Bacterial small subunit ribosomal RNA", at positions 541 to 1439 of the family's 1533-position model. Lineage: Bacteria; Bacillati; Actinomycetota; Actinomycetes; Actinomycetales; Actinomycetaceae. The record is from RNAcentral.